GAUGAACGCUGGCGGCGUGCCUAAUACAUGCCAGUCGAGCGAACGGACGAGAAUCUUGCUUUUCUGAUGUUAGCGGCGGACGUGUGAGUAACACGUGGAUAACCUACCUAUAAGACUGGGAUAACUUCGGGAAACCGGAGCUAAUACCGGAUAAUAUUUUGAACCGCAUGGUUCAAAAGUGAAAGACGGUCUUGCUGUCACUUAUAGCUGGAUCCGCGCUGCAUUAGCUAGUUUGUAAGGUAACGGCGUACCAAGGCAACGAUGCAUAGCCGACCUGAUAGGGUGAUGGGCCAAACUGGAACUGAGACACGGUCCAGACUACUACGGAGGGCAGCAGUAGGGAAUCUUCCAAAAUGGGCGAAAACCUGACGGGGCAACGCCGCGUGAGUGAUGAAGGUCUCCGGAUCGUAAAACUCUUCUAUUGGGGAAGAACGUAUGGGAAAAUAACUGUGCACAGCUUGACGGUACCUAAGCAGAAAGCAGAGGCUAACUACGUG
Molecule: ribosomal RNA, 497 nt
Filed under: uncultured bacterium
Lineage: Bacteria
Description: partial 16S ribosomal RNA
Rfam family: Bacterial small subunit ribosomal RNA
Source: RNAcentral